UACGGAGGGUGCAAGCGUUACUCGGAAUUACUGGGCGUAAAGGGUGCGUAGGUGGUUGUUUAAGUCUGUUGUGAAAGCCCCGGGCUCAACCUGGGAAUGGCAAUGGAUACUGGACAGCUAGAGUGCGGUAGAGGGUAGUGGAAUUCCCGGUGUAGCAGUGAAAUGCGUAGAGAUCGUAAGGAAGACCAGUGGCGAAGGCGGGUCUCUGGACAGUUCCUGACACUGAGGCACGAAGGCCAGGGGAGCAAACGGG
Molecule: ribosomal RNA, 253 nt
Filed under: uncultured bacterium
Lineage: Bacteria
Description: partial 16S ribosomal RNA
Rfam family: Bacterial small subunit ribosomal RNA
Source: RNAcentral